CUUCCUCAGUCUGUUUCCCUUCUAUAGAUGCCGACACUUGAUGGCUUAUUUAUGUAGCUUUUUAUUUUUAUUUUAGACCUCUUAUAAUUUUAAUUUAAUAUAAUAAAUGAUAAAAUUUAUUUAUAGAUUUAUUGUGUGAAUUUUUUAUUUUUAAUUUAUAAAAAAUAUUAUAAAUAUAAAUUAAAUAUAUAUAUUCAUAAAUUAUUUUUAAAAAAUAAGUGUAAAUUAUUAGUGAUGAAAUUAUUUUUGAUAAAAUAUUGAUCACCAAAAAACAUAUUAGCGAUG
Molecule: long non-coding RNA, 285 nt
Filed under: Elaeis guineensis (African oil palm)
Lineage: Eukaryota; Viridiplantae; Streptophyta; Magnoliopsida; Arecales; Arecaceae
Description: long non-coding RNA (EGUI_LNC053001)
Source: RNAcentral